This 508-nucleotide ribosomal RNA is filed under the name uncultured bacterium. Its description in RNAcentral is "partial 16S ribosomal RNA". It matches the Rfam family "Bacterial small subunit ribosomal RNA", at positions 28 to 507 of the family's 1533-position model. The record is from RNAcentral.
GACGAACGCUGGCGGCGUGCCUAAUACAUGCAAGUCGAACGCUUCUUUCCUCCCGAGUGCUUGCACUCAAUUGGAAAGAGGAGUGGCGGACGGGUGAGUAACACGUGGGUAACCUACCCAUCAGAGGGGGAUAACACUUGGAAACAGGUGCUAAUACCGCAUAACAGUUUAUGCCACAUGGCAUAAGAGUGAAAGGCGCUUUCGGGUGUCGUUGAUGGAUGGACCCGCGGUGCAUUAGCUAGUUGGUGAGGUAACGGCUCACCAAGGCCACGAUGCAUAGCCGACCUGAGAGGGUGAUCGGCCACACUGGGACUGAGACACGGCCCAGACUCCUACGGGAGGCAGCAGUAGGGAAUCUUCGGCAAUGGACGAAAGUCUGACCGAGCAACGCCGCGUGAGUGAAGAAGGUUUUCGGAUCGUAAAACUCUGUUGUUAGAGAAGAACAAGGACGUUAGUAACUGAACGUCCCCUGACGGUAUCUAACCAGAAAGCCACGGCUAACUACGUG